Tupaia belangeri chinensis (Chinese tree shrew) is the source of this 261-nucleotide long non-coding RNA. RefSeq lists it as uncharacterized. The record is from RefSeq and is a predicted model, not a curated record. The transcript is spliced from 3 exons. NCBI's taxonomy places the organism in Eukaryota, Metazoa, Chordata, Mammalia, Scandentia, Tupaiidae.
CAGGAAUUCUAACUAGAAGUGCCUCCGUCUGCAGGGAAAGUCAAACAGAGGAUGUAUUUUACCAUUGGGAGACAUUGACCAGUUGAGGACGUUGGGAGAGGAGCAACUUACAUCUUGUCUGUAGAACCUGCCUCAGAAUCUAGCUGGCUUCACCGUCUUCUCCAGCUUUUGGCCUUUGUUUUCCCUGUUCAGUGCCUGGACAAUCUGUGAAUGAAACACCAGAAGACAGUGGGAAACUGAGUUACUGGCAAUGGAUCCACU